CGGAAGAGCCGUCGGGGCCUGAGGACGGGCCGGAACCGGCGCAACAAACCCCCGCUAACCCCGUCAGGUCCGGAAGGAAGCAGCGGUAUGCGGACGAGGAUGUGUCGCCGGAUGCUCUGACCCACCUCCUCAGGCCCCAACUGCUCUUUCG
Molecule: signal recognition particle RNA, 151 nt
Filed under: Deltaproteobacteria bacterium
Lineage: Bacteria; Pseudomonadati; Myxococcota; Myxococcia
Description: signal recognition particle sRNA large type
Rfam family: Bacterial small signal recognition particle RNA (bases 28-124)
About the family: The signal recognition particle (SRP) is a universally conserved ribonucleoprotein involved in the co-translational targeting of proteins to membranes.
Source: RNAcentral